RNAcentral lists this ribosomal RNA (385 nucleotides) under uncultured bacterium. RNAcentral describes it as "bacterial SSU rRNA". It matches the Rfam family "Bacterial small subunit ribosomal RNA", at positions 30 to 417 of the family's 1533-position model. The record is from RNAcentral.
AUUGAACGCUGGCGGCAUGCCUUACACAUGCAAGUCGAACGGCAGCACGGGGGCAACCCUGGUGGCGAGUGGCGAACGGGUGAGUAACAUAUCGGAACGUGCCCUGGAGUGGGGGAUAACUAGUCGAAAGAUUAGCUAAUACCGCAUACGAUCUACGGAUGAAAGUGGGGAUCGCAAGACCUCAUGCUCGUGGAGCGGCCGAUAUCUGAUUAGCAGUUGGUGGGGUAAAGGCCUACCAAGGCAUCGAUCAGUAGCUGGUCUGAGAGGACGACCAGCCACACUGGGACUGAGACACGGCCCAGACUCCUACGGGAGGCAGCAGUGGGGAAUUUUGGACAAUGGGCGCAAGCCUGAUCCAGCAAUGCCGCGUGAGUGAAGAAGGCCU